RNAcentral lists this unclassified non-coding RNA (290 nucleotides) under Hevea brasiliensis (rubber tree). The record is from RNAcentral. Lineage: Eukaryota; Viridiplantae; Streptophyta; Magnoliopsida; Malpighiales; Euphorbiaceae.
UGCAGAGCUGGUUGGAAUGGUAUUCCCCUUUCAUGGUUGCAAGAAUUAUAUAAUUCUUUUCAUUGCAUAAACUUAAAGAUGACUGAAAAUUGGAAAAAUCUCAUUUUAUAACCAGUUCUCAAUCUUUUACUUGAAAGCAAAUUUGUGUGAGUUACAAUAUGCUGCCAAAGGAAGUAAUCUGUUUUCUGUGGUAUUUCAUUAUUUUGUGUCAUUGUUUGGCCAGUACUGGCAUGCUGUUUGACACUGUAUAUUGUCUAAAACAUGAAGCAUGACUUUGUUGUAGUGUAAGG